UGGCUCAGUUGGUAGAGCAUGGUGUUUGCAACGCCAGGGUUGUGGGUCCAAUUCCCAC
This 58-nucleotide transfer RNA is filed under the name Salmo salar (Atlantic salmon). It matches the Rfam family "tRNA", at positions 8 to 63 of the family's 71-position model. From Rfam's summary of the family: Transfer RNA (tRNA) molecules are approximately 80 nucleotides in length. Their secondary structure includes four short double-helical elements and three loops (D, anti-codon, and T loops). Lineage: Eukaryota; Metazoa; Chordata; Actinopteri; Salmoniformes; Salmonidae. The record is from Rfam by way of RNAcentral.